This 224-nucleotide unclassified non-coding RNA is filed under the name Hevea brasiliensis (rubber tree). Lineage: Eukaryota; Viridiplantae; Streptophyta; Magnoliopsida; Malpighiales; Euphorbiaceae. The record is from RNAcentral.
GUUACAUCUAGAAACACAGGCAAAUGUUAACCCUCAACUCUAAAAACUACUUUCCUGCAUGGUAUGCAUUCUUCAACGUAUUUCAGUCGCAUGGCUUAAUCUAUGGAAUGUUCUAAAAAUAUGCAUACAACAAAACCCAAUUAUUCUUAACCGAGGCACCUUGUGUCUGAAUAAAGAUCAAUGUGGGGCGUUUUGUGCUUCCUGGCGAUUUAUUUAGACUUCUU